GUUCCGGUAGCUCAGUCGGAGGAGCAUCGCGUCGACACCGCGAAGGUCGCUGGUUCGAGUCCAGCCCGGAACAC
Molecule: transfer RNA, 74 nt
Filed under: Plantactinospora endophytica
Lineage: Bacteria; Bacillati; Actinomycetota; Actinomycetes; Micromonosporales; Micromonosporaceae
Description: tRNA-Val
Rfam family: tRNA
About the family: Transfer RNA (tRNA) molecules are approximately 80 nucleotides in length. Their secondary structure includes four short double-helical elements and three loops (D, anti-codon, and T loops).
Source: RNAcentral